GAUGAACGCUGGCGGCAUGCCUUACACAUGCAAGUCGAACGGCAGCGGGGGAGAAGCUUGCUUUUCCUGCCGGCGAGUGGCGAACGGGUGAGUAAUACAUCGGAACGUGCCCUGUAGUGGGGGAUAACUAGUCGAAAGAUUAGCUAAUACCGCAUACGACCUGAGGGUGAAAGUGGGGGACCGCAAGGCCUCAUGCUAUAGGAGCGGCCGAUGUCUGAUUAGCUAGUUGGUGGGGUAAAGGCCUACCAAGGCGACGAUCAGUAGCUGGUCUGAGAGGACGAUCAGCCACACUGGGACUGAGACACGGCCCAGACUCCUACGGGAGGCAGCAGUGGGGAAUUUUGGACAAUGGGCGAAAGCCUGAUUCAGCAAUGCCGCGUGUGUGAAGAAGGCCUUCGGGUUGUAAAGCACUUUUGUCCGGAAAGAAAUGGCUCUGGUUAAUACCUGGGGUCGAUGACGGUACCGGAAGAAUAAGGACCGGCUAACUACGUGCCAGCCGCCGCCGUAA
Molecule: ribosomal RNA, 508 nt
Filed under: uncultured bacterium
Lineage: Bacteria
Description: partial 16S ribosomal RNA
Rfam family: Bacterial small subunit ribosomal RNA
Source: RNAcentral